RNAcentral lists this transfer RNA (72 nucleotides) under Marmota marmota marmota (Alpine marmot). It matches the Rfam family "tRNA". From Rfam's summary of the family: Transfer RNA (tRNA) molecules are approximately 80 nucleotides in length. Their secondary structure includes four short double-helical elements and three loops (D, anti-codon, and T loops). Lineage: Eukaryota; Metazoa; Chordata; Mammalia; Rodentia; Sciuridae. The record is from Rfam by way of RNAcentral. RNAcentral also lists the same sequence under 2 other names.
GGGAUGUAGCUCAGUUGAUAGAGUGCUUGCCUAGCAUGCACAGGGCCAUGGGUUCAAUCCCCAGCAUCACCA